GAUGAACGCUGGCGGCGUGCCUAACACAUGCAAGUCGAACGAAGCACUUCGAUUUCCUCGGAAUGAAAAAGUGACUGAGUGGCGGACGGGUGAGUAACGCGUGGGUAACCUGCCUCAUACAGGGGGAUAACAGUUGGAAACGACUGCUAAUACCGCAUAACACAUCGAGGGGGCAUCCCAUGAUGUCAAAGAUUUAUCGCUGAAAGAUGGGCUCGCGUCUGAUUAGCUAGUUGGUGGGGUAACGGCCUACCAAGGCGACGAUCAGUAGCCGGACUGAGAGGUUGAACGGCCACAUUGGGACUGAGAUACGGGCCCAGACUCCUACGGGAGCAGCAGUGGGGAAUAUUGGGCAAUGGGGGCAACCCUGACCCAGCAACGCCGCGUGAAGGAAGAAGGCUUUCGGGUU
Molecule: ribosomal RNA, 406 nt
Filed under: uncultured bacterium
Lineage: Bacteria
Description: bacterial SSU rRNA
Rfam family: Bacterial small subunit ribosomal RNA
Source: RNAcentral